Molecule: small RNA, 424 nt
Filed under: uncultured bacterium
Lineage: Bacteria
Description: bacterial LSU rRNA
Rfam family: tRNA (bases 28-100)
Source: RNAcentral
ACAAAAGGGCGGCGUGUUGUGAAAUUUGGNGAUGUANCUCAGUUGGGAGAGCGCGGGCUAUGCAAGCCGGAGGUCGUCGGUUCGAUCCCAAUCAUCUCCNCCAGGGGAUUUNCCGGCGGCGCCGAAAGCCGCUGGUUCUCGAGUUUUUGUCUCUCGCCCGAAGCUGGGCGGGGGUUACGACCUUUGACAGUUGAAUGCAAGGGUGACCGGCUGCNCUGCACACGCAGUGUAUGUACGCGGUGACCAAACAACUCACCGAGAGAAUACUUGCGGCGCGCGCCCGAGAGGGUGGCGCGUCGGGAAGUGCCGAACCAUACUCUUGAUUCACGGCGUNUUCGGACGCCGUCGGAUAGGAUUUUUGGCCAAGCUAGUAAGGGUAUGCGGUGGAUGCCUUGGCAUCAGGAGGCGAUGAAGGACGUGCUAA